Molecule: non-coding RNA, 411 nt
Organism: Callithrix jacchus (white-tufted-ear marmoset)
Lineage: Eukaryota; Metazoa; Chordata; Mammalia; Primates; Cebidae
Source: RefSeq, a predicted model, not a curated record
AUUUCUUCCAGACCGUGACUGAGAAGUAAAGAAGAUGGUUGCAGUGACAGGAUCAAGGCCUAGUGAGUUAUAGCUAAGUCUACAGUGAGAUAUGGCAGUAUUCUGUUUUGAAGUUGGGACUAUCAUAGGCAAACCUGCCGCUUGGUCAAAAUUCUUCUCUCAUGAUGUCUUCCUUGGUCUUUGCCUCCAGCUGGGUGUCACAAACCAUGACCUGGAUCCCAAAGCUUCCAUAAAUGCACUUUUGUUUGCCAUGGCUGCCACAUUAUGUUGUGGGGGAUGUGCAUACAGAACCUCCCAUUCUGUCAUCUUGCUUAUGCUAUCUCCUUUAUGUUUUGCUUUCUGAAAUGAAUGUCAAGUUUGUGAUUUGUAGAUUCAAUAGUUCUAAAAUAAAUUGCUCAAAUAUAGACAUUA